CCUACGGGAGGCAGCAGUGGGGAAUAUUGGACAAUGGGGGGAACCCUGAUCCAGCGACGCCGCGUGAGUGAAGAAGUAUUUCGGUAUGUAAAGCUCUAUCAGCAGGGAAGAAAGAAAUGACGGUACCUGACUAAGAAGCCCCGGCUAACUACGUGCCAGCAGCCGCGGUAAUACGUAGGGGGCAAGCGUUAUCCGGAUUUACUGGGGGUAAAGGGGGCGUAGACGGCGAUGCAAGUCUGAAGUGAAAGGCGGGGGCCCAACCCCCGGACUGCUUUGGAAACUGGAUGGCUGGAGUGCAGGAGAGGUAAGUGGAAUUCCUGGUGUAGCGGUGAAAUGCGUAGAUAUUAGGAGGAACACCAGUGGCGAAGGCGGCUUACUGGCCUGUAACUGACGUUGAGGCUCGAAAGCGUGGGGAGCAAACAGGAUUAGAUACCCUUGUAGUC
RNAcentral lists this ribosomal RNA (443 nucleotides) under uncultured bacterium. RNAcentral describes it as "partial 16S ribosomal RNA". It matches the Rfam family "Bacterial small subunit ribosomal RNA", at positions 338 to 795 of the family's 1533-position model. The record is from RNAcentral.